GGUGCCAUGGCUUAGUUGGUUAAAGCGCCUGUCUAAUAAACAGAGAUCCUGAGUUCGAUUCUCAGUGGUGCCU
Molecule: transfer RNA, 73 nt
Filed under: Saccoglossus kowalevskii
Lineage: Eukaryota; Metazoa; Hemichordata; Enteropneusta; Harrimaniidae
Description: tRNA-Ile
Rfam family: tRNA
About the family: Transfer RNA (tRNA) molecules are approximately 80 nucleotides in length. Their secondary structure includes four short double-helical elements and three loops (D, anti-codon, and T loops).
Source: RNAcentral